Molecule: ribosomal RNA, 309 nt
Filed under: uncultured eukaryote
Lineage: Eukaryota
Description: partial 18S ribosomal RNA
Rfam family: Eukaryotic small subunit ribosomal RNA
Source: RNAcentral
CCCUUAGAUGUUCUGGGCCGCACGCGUGCUACACUGAGUGGAUCAGCGGGUCAGGUUGCGCGAAAGCGUUUCCUAAUCUUUAAAUCCGCUCGUGAUGGGGAUUGACGGUUGCAAUUUUCUGUCAUGAACGAGGAAUACCUUGUAAGCGCGGGUCAUCAUCCCGCGCUGAAUACGUCCCUGCCCUUUGUACACACCGCCCGUCGCUCCUACCGAUUGAGUGGUCCGGUGAAGUUCGUAGACCUCGUGAUCGCGGAUCGCUGGGGGAAGCAAAAUGAACCUCGCGGUUUAGAGGAAGGAGAAGUCGUAACA